This 349-nucleotide RNase P RNA is filed under the name Nonlabens spongiae. RNAcentral's name for it is "Stenothermobacter spongiae Bacterial RNase P class A". It matches the Rfam family "Bacterial RNase P class A". From Rfam's summary of the family: Ribonuclease P (RNase P) is a ubiquitous endoribonuclease, found in archaea, bacteria and eukarya as well as chloroplasts and mitochondria. Its best characterised activity is the generation of mature 5'-ends of tRNAs by cleaving the 5'-leader elements of precursor-tRNAs. The record is from Rfam by way of RNAcentral. Lineage: Bacteria; Pseudomonadati; Bacteroidota; Flavobacteriia; Flavobacteriales; Flavobacteriaceae.
GCGGCAGGCCGCCUUAUCGCUGUCCGUUUUAGGCGGAGAGAGGAAAGUCCGGACACCGUAGGAUACCAUAGCGGCUAGCGGCCGUCGUUUUGUUUUUAAGGAAGCUGGAAAUUAUUCCGCUUUCGCGAAAGCGAGAUAGGACAAGUGCAACAGAAAGCAAGUACAGGUUAUGCUGUAGUGAAACCAGGUAAACUCUAUGGGGUGAAACGCCGCGUAAAUCAGAGCUCGAUCGCGAUCCGUGCGAUCUGAAGGGUAGGCGGUUUGAGGUCGUGAGUAAUUGCGAUCCUAGAUAAAUGAUAAGGAAUCCGUUGUAGGGUUACAGAAUCCGGCUUACAGGUCUGCCAUUUUU